CGCCUAACACAUGCAAGUCGAACGAAGUAGCAAUACUUAGUGGCAGACGGGUGAGUAACAUGUGGGUAUCUGCCCUUUGGCCUGGAAUAACACGAGGAAACUUGUGCUAAUACCGGAUAAGUCUUUACGGAGAAAGCUUUAUGCACCAUUGGAUGAGCCUGCACUUGAUUAGUUUGUUGGUGGGGUAAUGGCCUACCAAGACUGUGAUCAAUAGCUGAUUUGAGAGGAUGAUCAGCCACAUUGGGACUGAGACACGGCCCAAACUCCUACGGGAGGCAGCAGUGGGGAAUCUUGCACAAUGGAGGAAACUCUGAUGCAGCGAUGCCGCGUGAGUGAAGAAGGCCUUUGGGUUGUAAAGCUCUUUCGUCGGGGAAGAAAAUGACUGUACCCGAAUAAGAAGGUCCGGCUAACUUCGUGCCAGCAGCCGCGGUAAUACGAAGGGACCUAGCGUAGUUCGGAAUUACUGGGCUUAAAGAGUUCGUAGGUGGUUGAAAAAGUUGGUGGUGAAAUCCCAGAGCUUAACUCUGGAACUGCCAUCAAAACUUUUCAGCUAGAGUAUGAUAGAGGAAAGCAGAAUUUCUAGUGUAGAGGUGAAAUUCGUAGAUAUUAGAAAGAAUACCAAUUGCGAAGGCAGCUUUCUGGAUCAUUACUGACACUGAGGAACGAAAGCAUGGGUAGCGAAGAGGAUUAGAUACCCUCGUAGUCCAUGCCGUAAACGAUGUGUGUUAGACGUUGGAAAUUUAUUUUCAGUGUCGCAGCGAAAGCGAUAAACACACCGCCUGGGGAGUACGACCGCAAGGUUAAAACUCAAAUGAAUUGACGGGGACCCGCACAAGUAGUGGAGCAUGUGGUUUAAUUCGAAGAUACGCGCAGAACCUUACCAACACUUGACAUGUUCGUCGCGACUCUAAGAGAUUAGAGUUUUCGGUUCGGCCGGACGAAACACAGGUGCUGCAUGGCUGUCGUCAGCUCGUGUCGUGAGAUGUUGGGUUAAGUCCCGCAACGAGCGCAACCCUCACUUUUAGUUGCCAUCAUUAAGUUGGGCACUCUGAAAGAACUGCCAGUGAUAAGCUGGAGGAAGGUGGGGAUGACGUCAAGUCCUCAUGGCCCUUACGUGUUGGGCUACACACGUGCUACAAUGGUAUCUACAACAGGAAGCAAAACGGCAACGUUAAGCAAAUCCCGAAAAGAUACCUCAGUUCGGAUUGCACUCUGCAACUCGAGUGCAUGAAGCUGGAAUUACUAGUAAUCGUGGAUCAGCGUGCCACGGUGAAUGCGUUCCCGGGUCUUGUACACACCGCCCGUCACACCAUGGGAGUUGGUUCUACCUUAAGGCAAGGCUUUAAACCCUUGACCACGGUAUAGUCAGCGA
Molecule: ribosomal RNA, 1372 nt
Filed under: uncultured Pelagibacterales bacterium
Lineage: Bacteria; Pseudomonadati; Pseudomonadota; Alphaproteobacteria; Candidatus Pelagibacterales
Description: bacterial SSU rRNA
Rfam family: Bacterial small subunit ribosomal RNA
Source: RNAcentral